CUUAAACAUGAAAACAGAGAACAUAUUAUUCAGAUUCUAUAAUGCUACUUCAUCUCAAGAGAUGAAGAAGUCAAAUCUAAAAAAUAGAUCUAGUGAUAUUUUAAAAUUCAAAUUCAAGGCCAUGGCCGGAGCCACCUGGCAACCAUGGCCAACCAGUCCGGUUCCAGUUCAUCCCCCGGCUAUGCCCUGAACUGCCGGUUCCAGCCUAAACCAGACCAGUGGCCAAGCCUAGGUCAAGGGACUAAUUAGUUAAAGCAUGGGGUAAGAAAAGAAAAUUCUAAGAUACCU
This 288-nucleotide unclassified non-coding RNA is filed under the name Hevea brasiliensis (rubber tree). The record is from RNAcentral. Lineage: Eukaryota; Viridiplantae; Streptophyta; Magnoliopsida; Malpighiales; Euphorbiaceae.